CCUACGGGGUGCAGCAGUGGGGGAUAUUGCACAAUGGGGGGAACCCUGAUGCAGCGACGCCGCGUGGGGGAAGACGGUUCUCUGUAUUGUAAACCACUGUCCCCGGGGAGGAAGUUGACGGUACCUGGGUAAGAAGCUCCGGCUAACUACGUGCCAGCAGCCGCGGUAAUACGUAGGGAGCGAGCGUUGUCCGGAAUUACUGGGUGUAAGGGGAGCGUAGACGGGGAAGCAAGGUGGGGGGCAAACCUAGGGGCUCAACUGGGAACCGCACUGGAAACUGCAGCUCUGGAGUGAAGGAGAGGCAGGCGGAAUUCCUGGUGUAGCGGUGAAAUGCGUAGAUAUUAGGAGGAACACCAGUGGCGAAGGCGACCUGCUGGGCCUUUACUGACGCUGAGGCUCGAAAGUGUGGGGAGCAAACAGGAUUAGAUACCCUGGUAGUC
This 440-nucleotide ribosomal RNA is filed under the name uncultured bacterium. Its description in RNAcentral is "partial 16S ribosomal RNA". It matches the Rfam family "Bacterial small subunit ribosomal RNA", at positions 338 to 795 of the family's 1533-position model. The record is from RNAcentral.